UGGGGAAUUUUGGACAAUGGGCGCAAGCCUGAUCCAGCCAUGCCGCGUGCGGGGAGAAGGCCUUCGGGUUGUAAACCGCUUUCGUCAGGGAAGAAAUCUUCUGAGUUAAUACCUCGGGAGGAUGACGGUACCUGAAGAAUAAGCACCGGCUAACUACGUGCCAGCAGCCGCGGUAAUACGUAGGGUGCAAGCGUUAAUCGGAAUUACUGGGCGUAAAGCGUGCGCAGGCGGUUUUGUAAGACAGAGGUGAAAUCCCCGGGCUCAACCUGGGAACUGCCUUUGUGACUGCAAGGCUUGAGUGCGGCAGAGGGGGAUGGAAUUCCGCGUGUAGCAGUGAAAUGCGUAGAUAUGCGGAGGAACACCGAUGGCGAAGGCAAUCCCCUGGGCCUGCACUGACGCUCAUGCACGAAAGCGUGGGGAGCAAACAGGAUUAGAUACCCUGGUAGUCCACGCCCUAAACGAUGUCAACUGGUUGUUGGGAAGGUUCCUUCUCAGUAACGUAGCUAACGCGUGAAGUUGACCGCCUGGGGAGUACGGCCGCAAGGUU
This 547-nucleotide ribosomal RNA is filed under the name uncultured bacterium. RNAcentral describes it as "partial 16S ribosomal RNA". It matches the Rfam family "Bacterial small subunit ribosomal RNA", at positions 355 to 895 of the family's 1533-position model. The record is from RNAcentral.